AGGCUGCAACUCGCCUGCAUGAAGCUGGAAUUGCUAGUAAUCGCGGAUCAGCAUGCCGCGGUGAAUACGUUCCCGGGCCUUGUACACACCGCCCGUCACACCAUGGGAGUUUGUAACACCCGAAGUCAGUAUCCUAACCGCAAGGGGGGAGCUGCCGAAGGUGGGAUAAGCGACUGGGGUGAAGUCGUAACAAGGUACC
This 199-nucleotide ribosomal RNA is filed under the name uncultured bacterium. Its description in RNAcentral is "partial 16S ribosomal RNA". It matches the Rfam family "Bacterial small subunit ribosomal RNA", at positions 1302 to 1500 of the family's 1533-position model. The record is from RNAcentral.